This 808-nucleotide ribosomal RNA is filed under the name uncultured archaeon. RNAcentral's name for it is "bacterial SSU rRNA". It matches the Rfam family "Archaeal small subunit ribosomal RNA", at positions 85 to 876 of the family's 1478-position model. The record is from RNAcentral.
ACUGCUCAGUAACACGUAGCUAACCUACCCUCGGGACGGAGACAACCCCGGGAAACUGGGGCUAAUCCCCGAUAGGCGUGGAGGCCUGGAAUGGUUCCACGCCCAAAGGUCUGCGCGCCCAUGUCGCGCGCCGACGCCCGAGGAUGGGGCUGCGGCCGAUCAGGCUGUUGGUGAGGUAAAGGCUCACCAAACCUUUGACCGGUACGGGCCGUGAGAGCGGUAGCCCGGAGAUGGGCACUGAGACAAGGGCCCAGGCCCUACGGGGCGCAGCAGGCGCGAAGCCUCCACAAUGCACGCAAGUGCGAUGGGGCUACCUCGAGUGCCGCCUGAAGAAGGCGGCUUUUCCACGGUGUAAUGAGCCGUGGGAAUAAGAGGGGGGCAAGACUGGUGUCAGCCGCCGCGGUAACACCAGACCCUCGAGUUGUGGGGACGUUUAUUUGGCCUAAAGCGUCCGUAGCCGGCCCGGUAAGUCCCUCGUUAAAUCCAGCGUCCCAAGCGCUGGGCCGCGAGGGAGACUGCCAGGCUAGAGGGUGGAAGAAGUCAGCGGUAUUCCUGGGGUAGGGGCGAAAUCCUUUGAUCCCAGGAGGACCACCAGUGGCGAAGGCUGCUGACUAGUACACGCCUGACGGUCAGGGACGAAAGCUGGGGGAGCGAAUCGGAUUAGAUACCCGAGUAGUCCCAGCCGUAAACGAUGCAGGCUAGGUGUUGGGGCGGCCACGCGCCGCCUCAGUGCCACAGGGAAGCCAUUAAGCCUGCCGCCUGGGGAGUACGGCCGCAAGGCUGAAACUUAAAGGAAUUGGCGGGGGAG